GACGAACGCUGGCGGCGUGCCUAAUACAUGCAAGUUGAGCGCUGAAGGUUGGUACUUGUACCAACUGGAUGAGCAGCGAACGGGUGAGUAACGCGUGGGGAAUCUGCCUUUGAGCGGGGGACAACAUUUGGAAACGAAUGCUAAUACCGCAUAAAAACUUUAAACACAAGUUUUAAGUUUGAAAGAUGCAAUUGCAUCACUCAAAGAUGAUCCCGCGUUGUAUUAGCUAGUUGGUGAGGUAAAGGCUCACCAAGGAGAUGAUACAUAGCCGACCUGAGAGGGUGAUCGGCCACAUUGGGACUGAGACACGGCCCAAACUCCUACGGGAGGCAGCAGUAGGGAAUCUUCGGCAAGGGACGAAAGUCUGACCGAGCAACGCCGCGUGAGUGAAGAAGGUUUUCGGGUCGUAAAACUCUGUUGGUAGAGAAGAACGUUGGUGAGAGUGGAAAGCUCAUCAAGUGACGGUAACUACCCAGAAAGGGACGGCUAACUACGUG
RNAcentral lists this ribosomal RNA (497 nucleotides) under uncultured bacterium. RNAcentral describes it as "partial 16S ribosomal RNA". It matches the Rfam family "Bacterial small subunit ribosomal RNA", at positions 28 to 507 of the family's 1533-position model. The record is from RNAcentral.